UACGUAGGGACCAAGCGUUGUUCGGAUUUACUGGGCGUAAAGGGCGCGUAGGCGGCAAUUCAAGUCAUCUGUGAAAUCUCCGGGCUUAACCCGGAACGGUCAGAUGAUACUGCUUUGCUAGAGUGCGGAAGGGCAAUCGGAAUUCUUGGUGUAGCGGUGAAAUGCGUAGAUAUCAAGAGGAACACCUGAGGUGAAGACGGGUUGCUGGGCCGACACUGACGCUGAUAGCGCGAAAGCCAGGGGAGCAAACGGG
RNAcentral lists this ribosomal RNA (253 nucleotides) under uncultured bacterium. RNAcentral's name for it is "partial 16S ribosomal RNA". It matches the Rfam family "Bacterial small subunit ribosomal RNA", at positions 524 to 776 of the family's 1533-position model. The record is from RNAcentral.